RNAcentral lists this ribosomal RNA (118 nucleotides) under Pteropus alecto (black flying fox). The record is from RNAcentral. Lineage: Eukaryota; Metazoa; Chordata; Mammalia; Chiroptera; Pteropodidae.
GUUCAGAACUAAAACUCUUAAAUCAGCCCGAUCCUAUCUGAUCUCGGAAGCUAAGCAAGGUCGGGCCUGAUGAGUACUUGGAUGGGAGACCACCUAGGAAGACCAGGUGCUGUGGGCA